GCCCCUCUAGCUUAGUGGUAAAGCAGCAGUUUUGUAAACUGUCGACCCAGGUCCGAUUCCUGGGAGGGGCUCAA
Molecule: transfer RNA, 74 nt
Filed under: Candidatus Shapirobacteria bacterium
Lineage: Bacteria; Candidatus Shapironibacteriota
Description: tRNA-Thr
Rfam family: tRNA
About the family: Transfer RNA (tRNA) molecules are approximately 80 nucleotides in length. Their secondary structure includes four short double-helical elements and three loops (D, anti-codon, and T loops).
Source: RNAcentral